Molecule: ribosomal RNA, 480 nt
Filed under: uncultured bacterium
Lineage: Bacteria
Description: bacterial SSU rRNA
Rfam family: Bacterial small subunit ribosomal RNA
Source: RNAcentral
AUUGAACGCUGGCGGCAUGCCUUACACAUGCAAGUCGAACGGCAGCACGGGAGCAAUCCUGGUGGCGAGUGGCGAACGGGUGAGUAAUAUAUCGGAACGUGCCCAGUCGUGGGGGAUAACGCAGCGAAAGUUGUGCUAAUACCGCAUACGAUCUAUGGAUGAAAGCGGGGGAUCGCAAGACCUCGCGCGAUUGGAGCGGCCGAUAUCAGAUUAGGUUGUUGGUGAGGUAAAAGCUCACCAAGCCUGCGAUCUGUAGCUGGUCUGAGAGGACGACCAGCCACACUGGAACUGAGACACGGUCCAGACUCCUACGGGAGGCAGCAGUGGGGAAUUUUGGACAAUGGACGAAAGUCUGAUCCAGCAAUGCCGCGUGCAGGACGAAGGCCUUCGGUUGUAAACUGCUUUGUACAGAACGAAAAGUACUUAAUAACACUAGAGGCUCAUGACGGUACUGUAAGAAUAAGACACCGGCUAACUACG